UUUGUUUGGGAGGGUAGGAUGUUACAUUUAUUUUAUUAUUACAUAUUUAUUUAUACUUUUUACAUUUCAUUUUGUAAUAAUCAGAACACAUAUCUCAGGACAGUGAAGAAAAUGUGGAGGAAUGUCAUGUUUUGUACCUACUUAAUAAAAUACAACAGCAUCAAUAUUAUCAUUCAGUCCCAUUAAACAAGCUACAACAAAGACUCCUAAAACGCAAGCUUGACAUUAUAUAAAACUAUUGGUACCUCUAUAACACUGUGGAGGAGGUUAGGAGUGAGGCAUGGAGGGAGGGGGUUGGGACUGAUGUAUUGAUAAAGGGCUACCAGACAGAUAGGGGUCUGAUAGAUCGAUAGGUGACUAGUUAUGGAGGAUAGGAGUCAAUAAUAGAUCAAUCCAUCGAUAGGAGACUAUGUAUGGAGGAUAGGAGUCAAUAAUAGAUCAAUCCAUCGAUAGCAGACUAGUUAUGGAAGGUAGGCGUCAAGAACAGCAGGAGGUAUUGGGUAGGUGACUAGUUAUGGAAGGUAGGGGUCAAUAACAGCAGGAGGUAUUGGGUAGGUGAAUAGUUACGGGAGGUAGGGGUCAAUAACAGCAGGAGGUAUUGGGUAGGUGACUAGUUACGGAAGGUAGGGGUCAAUAACGGCAGCAGGUAUUGGGUAGGUUGAUGAGGUGAUGGUGUAAACACACAGACAAUGGUCUCUACACACUCAUCAUGCUUCACCAGGUCCUCUUGAUAAUCUUUUUUUCUACAUCGUCAUCAACAACAAUAAACAACCACUAUGGGGUCAAAAUGGGGGGACAGAACACAUCCAUCCAAAUAAAAAGAGAGAAAGAUAGAACCGAGGAGAAGAACAGAGUACGGCUAUUAAGAGUACUCAUGAGUCUGCUGCUGCUGCUACUGUUACUACUGCUACUGCUACUGCUACUACUACUACUACUACUACUACUGUCCGAGGAGCAUUAUGAAUAGACAGCGUCAUAGCUAGAACACAGAUUCUAAUAUGGUUCUUCUCUGUGAGGGACUAGGUCCAGGCUUUGGUGCUGUCUGGAUAACCCAAGCAGACCUGGGUUCAAACAGUAUUAGAUUUCUUUGAAUAUUUGAGCUGUGCUUUAUUGAGCUUGGCUGGCACAGUGGAACCAACGACAACAGUCUCAAAAAAACUAAUCUGGUUACUCCAGCCAGGCAUAAAGAAAACAGAUACUAGUUUAACCCAGGUAGGUCUGAACCAGCAUUGACGCCGUCACUAAGUAACACUAGCCGUCGCUGUAAACAGAGAUCUUAAACUGGCCGAGGGAGUGGAGGGCCCUGUCUGUACAGGACUGGGCAGAGAUAAAGAUAUAGAAGUCUACUGGGCAUGAUAGAGAUCUUAACAAACUGGCCGAGGGAGUGGAGGGCCCUGUCUGUACAGGACUGGUCAGAG
Oncorhynchus tshawytscha (Chinook salmon) is the source of this 1418-nucleotide long non-coding RNA. Lineage: Eukaryota; Metazoa; Chordata; Actinopteri; Salmoniformes; Salmonidae. The record is from Ensembl.